Oryzias melastigma (Indian medaka) is the source of this 2147-nucleotide long non-coding RNA. RefSeq lists it as uncharacterized. Lineage: Eukaryota; Metazoa; Chordata; Actinopteri; Beloniformes; Adrianichthyidae. The transcript has 5 exons. The record is from RefSeq and is a predicted model, not a curated record.
GAUGGGGUGUUGGGCUUGUUGGGGCAUGUUCCCACCAGGCUCCCUUCUUUUAAGGGGAUGCUCCCCGUCCUGUCCACUCAUUUAGAGGACGUUCAGCAGAAAAUAAAAGCACAGAAACCCGCAUCACUCUGUGAGUUUCCUGCAGUUGGAGAGUGAAAGAAGGAGAGAGCAGUGUGUGAUGGGAAUCUUACCCGGAAGAAACAAUCGCUGCGUGAUGAUGAAAGAGAGGGGCUGUAAUGCGGAAUGAGGACAAGAAUAGAUUCCAAAUGCUCAAUAACUGAGAUACAAAAAAAGGAAGCCCAGAUGAUCCAUGAAAAGUAAAUAAUCAGAGCUCUGCUGUGCUGUGCUUCAUGCAAGAUGCAGACUUUGCUUAUUGCUCCAACUCUCCUCCCAGGAUCAAACCAUGUUUGCAUGUGAAUCAGAGAAAGACAAGGAAAGGGAUGCCAGCUGCUGAAGAGGAGGGAGUGCUGUGAAGGCCAGAAACCUCCCUGUGGGUCUGAUGAAUCCUUUACAGUUCUGAGGGGCUUAUUAAACAUUUAUGAUGGACGUCAUGACUUUCUGUGUCAUUGUUUUCUUCUGUCUGUCCGCUUGACUUACCUGUUCUUUCCAAUGCUUGCGUGUAUUUUGUUGAUCAAAAAUACCUCAGCCGUACUUUUCUUUGGAUUUUUCUUCUUUUUUUCAGACCCCCUGCAGAUUGAAUGCCCUCCAUUGAAGUUAAUAAUUCACUCAUAUAUUAACCUUGCUAGUUACUCCAGAAGCUGUUUUCAUCUCUGCUUUUUUUUUUUUUUUUUUAUUACGUGUGAGUAAGAGAAUAUAAGGAAGAGAGAACCUGACUGUUGUGGGAUUAAGUGUACUGUUUAUGAUUUAUUUACUGCUCACCAAAGACGGUUGAUGAUUUGACGUUUCUCACACAAACAUCUACACUUAACUGCACUGUCAACAAACAGGGGAUCAGGCUCACUCCCAUAUGCUGAGUUAGCCAGUUUGCCCCGGACAUUAAAACACCUUCAGAUACAUUAAACACAACACACAUGAAGCAGAUGUAGAGUCACACCACAACAGCACAUUCACUUCAGAACUGGAGCAGACUGCCAAGAAACGUUAAAUCAUUUAUAUUUGGACACCACAACGAGUUAACAUUUAAACUUGAAACUUUUUGUCUUACUAAAAAAGAAAAAAAAAAGUAAGUAAAGUAUUCACCUGUUUAAAAAACUUAUAUUCGUUUUCAUUGAAACUACAGAUUUUAAAUAAAAGAUAUUUGCAGCUGCCACACCUGCAAACAUGACCUCAUGAAAUCAGUGGUUUUAGGAUUUAGGUUGCAGCGUUACCAUGUUGACUGAUGCCAGCUCAGGCUGUGGUGGGAAUUAGAGAAGCUCUUUUGGUUUAAAGACCCCCUCCCAUGAAGGCUUUUGGUGUUUUUGAACAUGUUCUCGUGGCAAAUUUCUGAUGACGGAGGACAUAUUUAAAGAAAAUGAAGCAUAACAUUGCAUUUCUGAGUAUUUCUUUAUUCAAAUUGUUGCAAAUCAGGAGCAGACUCAAAAACGCAGUUGGAAAAAGAUUAUAGAUGUGUCAUACCGCUCUGUAAAAGACCACUGGGAACGCUUAUACAACAGAUCAAAAGAUGAUCAGAGUGGGACCUAAAUGACUUUUCAGCUUUAGUAAGUAAAAUGUAGUUUGUGCCUCAAUUCAGAUUAUUUUAUUUCUGUGUUAGUUUAGUAAUUUAAAUAUGUAUAAAGCAGGCUAAAUGACAUUCUGUUGCAGGGUAAGGUUUAGAAAGAAAAAAUGAAGAUUUUGAUCUUGGUCUGACUUUGUAAAUGAUCCACAGGAAAAAAAAAAAAAAAAAACUCACUGAAGAAUUUUGCACUAAACUGUCAACUAACGUUACAAGUUUUAUCAGGAAAGUCAUUUAUUUGCACACUGGGUUUUAUCUGUGUUUUAACAUGAAUCACGUUUUGUGUAAACUAUUUAAUGGAAUUUUUUUGUUUUUGUUGUAUUUUUAAUGUGUUGUGAAGGUUAUAUGGUAAACAUGUAAAUGUGUUUUGGGCACCAUAGAUAAAGAGAAUGUGUUGAUUGUGUAAAACUAAGAGUAUCAGGUUAAGCUGGAUAAAAAAUGAUUUAAUAAUUUCUGAUUUAGAUAUAUAUAUAUA